CACCAACAAGCUAGCCCACCCAACUAAAACCAACAAGCCAACAUCAAUAACCCCUAACACACCCAACCUACACAACUAAACCAUUCUACUUACCCCCUAGUAUCGGAGACAGAACAGGACCCUCGGAGCGAUAGAAAAAGUACCGCAAGGGAAAGCUGAAAAAGAAAUGAAACAAACCAGUUAAGCCCAUCAAAGCAGAGAUUAAACCUCGUACCUUUUGCAUCAUGAUUUAGCCAGCAUAACUCAAGCAAAGCGACCUUUAGUUUGAGACCCCGAAACUGAGUGAGCUACUCCAAGCCAGCCUAUCUAAUUAAGGGCACACCCGUCUCUGUGGCAAAAGAGUGGGAAGAGCUUCGAGUAGGGGCGAUAAACCUACCGAACUCAGUUAUAGCUGGUUGCCUGAGAAAUGAAUAUUAGUUCAGCCUCUUGCCUUCUUCCACUCCCCACUAACAACUUUAACCAAGGAUGAAAAGAAGAAAAGAGAGUUAGUCAAAGGGGGGACAGCCCCUUUGAAACAGACACAACUUUACCAGGAGGGUAAGGAUCAAACUCAACCAAGGAGUCACCCCUAAGUUGGCCUAAAAGCAGCCAUCUUUAAAGAAAGCGUUAAAGCUCAGACUACUACACUUACUCCCUUUAUUCUGAUAACCUACUCCAAACCCCCUAACCCUACCAGGCCAUUCUAUUAACAUAGAAGCGACCAUGCUAGAAUGAGUAAUCAGGGAAAAACAGCCUCCCUCAAGUCGCAUGUGUAACUCGGAACGGACCCCCCACCGAAUAUUAACGGCCCCAAGCACAGAGGGCAAUAAAACUACCCACCCCACGCUAGAAAACCUUUUACUGACCUAGACCGUUAAACCAACACAGGAGCGCACCAAAUGAAAGACUAAAAGAAAGGGAAGGAACCCGGCAAACCCCCCAAGCCUCGCCUGUUUACCAAAAACAUCGCCUCUUGCAACCCCAAGAAUAAGAGGUCCUGCCUGCCCAGUGACACUUAGUUAAACGGCCGCGGUAUUCUGACCGUGCAAAGGUAGCGCAAUCACUUGUCUUUUAAAUGAAGACCUGUAUGAAUGGCAAGACGAAGGCUUAACUGUCUCCCCCCUCCAGUCAAUGAAAUUGAUCUCCCCGUGCAGAAGCGGGGAUAAACACAUAAGACGAGAAGACCCUGUGGAGCUUAAGACAACAAGACCAACCUGUCAAAAAUAACAAAACAAAGCUAAACGAACUAAAUGGCCCUGUCCUUGUGUCUUCGGUUGGGGCGACCAUGGGGAACUAAAAAACCCCCACGUGGAACAAGAGCACCUCUACUCUCACAAACCAGAGGGACACCUCUAAUUAACAGAACUUCUGACCUAAAAUGACCCGGCUUAAGCCGAUCAACGAACCAAGUUACCCCAGGGAUAACAGCGCAAUCCCCUUCCAGAGCCCAUAUCGACAAGGGGGUUUACGACCUCGAUGUUGGAUCAGGACAUCCUAGUGGUGCAGCAGCUACUAAGGGUUCGUUUGUUCAACGAUUAAAGUCCUACGUGAUCUGAGUUCAGACCGGAGAAAUCCAGGUCAGUUUCUAUCUAUGAAAUGCUUCCUCCUAGUACGAGAGGACCGGAGAAAGGAGGCCUAUGGUUUAGCCACGCCUCCCCCUUAACUGAUGAACAAACCUCAACCAAACAAAAGGGAAUAAAAUUAUUCCAAAGAUAAUGGCAU
This 1701-nucleotide ribosomal RNA is filed under the name Pseudaesopia japonica (wavyband sole). Its description in RNAcentral is "16S ribosomal RNA". It matches the Rfam family "Bacterial large subunit ribosomal RNA". The record is from RNAcentral. Lineage: Eukaryota; Metazoa; Chordata; Actinopteri; Pleuronectiformes; Soleidae.